Molecule: non-coding RNA, 217 nt
Organism: Cinara cedri
Lineage: Eukaryota; Metazoa; Arthropoda; Insecta; Hemiptera; Aphididae
Source: the annotation of a GenBank genome assembly
GCAACUCAACUCCGAAAUAUUUAUUCGGUUUUCUCCGUAAGAGCACCUCUUCUGAAAUCCGUCCGUCACAUUUGUUCCGGCGGGGUUUUCAACUGCGAGUGUCGAGGUCACGCGAAUAUUGUUUCCGAUAAACAUUAUUGCGCAUGCGCGAGAUUAUAUUCUACUGCGGUCCGAAUCGGUUCCCGGAUACGCGAAAAUAGAUAAUAACCACUGACGG